Molecule: unclassified non-coding RNA, 346 nt
Filed under: soil metagenome
Description: partial contains 5.8S ribosomal RNA, internal transcribed spacer 2, and large subunit ribosomal RNA
Rfam family: 5.8S ribosomal RNA (bases 1-120)
Source: RNAcentral
GAUGAAGAACGUAGCGAAAUGCGAUAAGUAAUGUGAAUUGCAGAAUUCAGUGAAUCAUCGAGUCUUUGAACGCACAUUGCGCCCCCUGGUAUUCCGGGGGGCAUGCCUGUCCGAGCGUCAUUGCCGCCCUCAAGCACGGCUUGUGUGUUGGGCCCCCGCCCCCCGGCUUCGGGGGGCGGGCCCGAAAGGCAGCGGCGGCACCGCGUCCGGUCCUCGAGCGUAUGGGGCUUCGUCACCCGCUCUGUAGGCCCGGCCGGCGCCCGCCGGCGACCCCAAUCAAUCUUUCCAGGUUGACCUCGGAUCAGGUAGGGAUACCCGCUGAACUUAAGCAUAUCAAAAGCGGAGG